CGUGAGUAACCUGCCUUGGAGUGGGGAAUAACGCAUCGAAAGAUGUGCUAAUACCGCAUAAUGCAGUUGGGCCGCAUGGCUCUGACUGCCAAAGAUUUAUCGCUCUGAGAUGGACUCGCGUCUGAUUAGCUGGUUGGCGGGGUAACGGCCCACCAAGGCGACGAUCAGUAGCCGGACUGAGAGGUUGGCCGGCCACAUUGGGACUGAGACACGGCCCAGACUCCUACGGGAGGCAGCAG
This 239-nucleotide ribosomal RNA is filed under the name uncultured bacterium. RNAcentral's name for it is "partial 16S ribosomal RNA". It matches the Rfam family "Bacterial small subunit ribosomal RNA", at positions 116 to 354 of the family's 1533-position model. The record is from RNAcentral.